Molecule: ribosomal RNA, 510 nt
Filed under: uncultured bacterium
Lineage: Bacteria
Description: partial 16S ribosomal RNA
Rfam family: Bacterial small subunit ribosomal RNA
Source: RNAcentral
GACGAACGCUGGCGGCGUGCUUAACACAUGCAAGUCGAACGAAGAGCGAUGGAAGCUUGCUUCUAUCAAUCUUAGUGGCGAACGGGUGAGUAACGCGUAAUCAACCUGCCCUUCAGAGGGGGACAACAGUUGGAAACGACUGCUAAUACCGCAUACGAUCUAAUCUCGGCAUCGAGGAUAGAUGAAAGGUGGCCUCUACAUGUAAGCUAUCACUGAAGGAGGGGAUUGCGUCUGAUUAGCUAGUUGGAGGGGUAACGGCCCACCAAGGCGAUGAUCAGUAGCCGGUCUGAGAGGAUGAACGGCCACAUUGGGACUGAGACACGGCCCAGACUCCUACGGGAGGUAGCAGUGGGGAAUCUUCCGCAAUGGACGAAAGUCUGACGGAGCAACGCCGCGUGAGUGAUGACGGCCUUCGGGUUGUAAAGCUCUGUUAAUCGGGACGAAAGGCCUUCUUGCGAAUAGUGAGAAGGAUUGACGGUACCGGAAUAGAAAGCCACGGCUAACUACGUG